RNAcentral lists this ribosomal RNA (305 nucleotides) under uncultured bacterium. RNAcentral's name for it is "bacterial SSU rRNA". It matches the Rfam family "Bacterial small subunit ribosomal RNA", at positions 333 to 635 of the family's 1533-position model. The record is from RNAcentral.
UGUGGCCUACGGGGCGCAGCAGUGAGGAAUAUUGGUCAAUGGGCGCAAGCCUGAACCAGCCAAGUCGCGUGAGGGAAGACGGCCCUACGGGUUGUAAACCUCUUUUGCCGGGGAGCAAGCCUGAGCACGUGUGCCCAGGCGGAGAGUACCCGGAGAAAAAGCAUCGGCUAACUCCGUGCCAGCAGCCGCGGUAAUACGGAGGAUGCGAGCGUUAUCCGGAUUUAUUGGGUUUAAAGGGUGCGUAGGCGGAUUUUUAAGUCAGCGGUAAAAUGUCCGGGCUCAACCCGGGCCGGCCGUUGAAACUG